RNAcentral lists this signal recognition particle RNA (282 nucleotides) under Saimiri boliviensis boliviensis (Bolivian squirrel monkey). RNAcentral describes it as "Metazoan signal recognition particle RNA (ENSSBOG00000014334.1)". It matches the Rfam family "Metazoan signal recognition particle RNA". From Rfam's summary of the family: The signal recognition particle (SRP) is a universally conserved ribonucleoprotein. The record is from RNAcentral. Lineage: Eukaryota; Metazoa; Chordata; Mammalia; Primates; Cebidae.
GCACACACCUAUAGUCCCAGCUACUUGGGAUGCUGAGGCAGGAGGAUCAGUUGAGCCCAGAAGUUCUGAGCUAUACUGUGCUAUGCCAAUUGGGUACCUACACUAAGUUCAGCAGCAACAUGGUGAUAUCUAGGAGCACAGGAACACCAGUUUGUCUAAGGAGGGGUGAACUGGCCCAGGUCAGAAACAAAGUAGGUCAAAACUCCUAUGCUGAUUAGUAGUGGGAUUGCGCCUGUGAACAGCCACUGUACUCCAGUCUGGGCAACGUGGAUAAGUUGCCCA